Molecule: long non-coding RNA, 1505 nt
Organism: Archocentrus centrarchus (flier cichlid)
Lineage: Eukaryota; Metazoa; Chordata; Actinopteri; Cichliformes; Cichlidae
Exons: 4
Source: RefSeq, a predicted model, not a curated record
AAGGUUAUGUUUACGGUUGCCAUGCCAACACUCUGCGGCCGUCUGGUUUGGCUCUACGUGUAGAUAACGUUGUGAGGUGGAAGACGAAGAAAGCCAAGUGGUAUUUAUUGUUUAUAAGUUGAUGUUCGUAAGACACAAGCUUGUCUUGUCAUUUGUUGCAUUAUCUUUACUGUUUCGCUCUUUUUUCCACGCACGCUCUUUAGUGCAGAGCUCGCUAGCGGAGAGGUCCGGGUCUAAGACUUGAUUAGCGCCCUUGGAGAGCGGAAUGAGUGUACGGAUUUAUGAAUUACAAGCAAUAACGCUUUGAUCGAUGUGGGGGGAGGGAAAAGCCCCGUUUUCCAGCCGACAGAAAAGCAGCAGCAUAUGAGUGUGUGGAGUCACCUAUAGAAAGUCUGGUGGAAAAGGCUUCAAUUUAUUAAACAAAAAUAUGGAGAAAACUUCCUCUUUAUGCCAGGGGCAGUGGAAACAUCCACUGACUGUAACCUUCAUCAAAGCUUGUGCCUACCAGUGAAAUGUGGAAUGUUCCAUCACAUCUUCAACAUGGGCCUGAAUCUGCAAAGAGUCCACAUGCUGAGGAAGUGGUGAUGCCUCAUACCUGUGCAGAAGAUCUCACAUCUCAGUGGCACCUAACUACAGAUGCAUGGCACUGACAACACACAUCAUUAAGGCCUUGGAGAAAUUUAUCCUGGACCAGCUCCAGCCUAUAGUCAGACCUCUGAUGGACCUUCUCCAGUUUGCCUAUCAGCCCCUGCAGCUAUUGCAAACAGACCUGCCACCUUCAGGAGCUUUUUGAUGACUCAGCAGUAGUGGGACAUAUCAGUGAGGGCAAUGAGAAAGAGUACAGGGCUGUGGUAGAAAAAGAAACAGAAGUUGGUUGUGGACAUGAGGAGGACCAAAACACCAGUGACGCCCUGUUUCCAUCCAUGGGGUUUGUGUGGAGACAGUGGAAACUUACAAAUACCUGAGUGUUCCUUCCUACACUAACAAUAAACUGGACUUCAGUAAAAACACAAAAGCCCUCAACAAAACGGGUUCUGUUUUCUGAGGUUGCUGAGGUCUUUUAAAAGAUGGUCAGACAAUGCUCUGUGGUUAGUGGCAUCUUCUACGCUGUGGUGUGCUGGAGGAGUAGACUGAAGCUAGCAGACACCAAGAGACUUGAAAAAAAAAUGAAUCCAAAAGGCCAAAAGCAUUGUGGGUGUUCAGCUUGACUCCCUGAGUCUCUGUAAUGUGCUUCACAGUUACAGCAGCACAUUCAGCAAAAGACUCCACCACAAUGUACCACAGAUCACUACAGGAAAUCAUUCCUACAUGUGGCCAACAAACUCUACAAUUCCUCCCUAUGACACCUGGGUAAUAUUCACUGCAGUUAUCUUGUACAUAUUGUACAUAAUAUUGCUUUAACUUUCUGUGUGUAGAUUGCAUGUUCUCCCUGUGUCUGGAUGGAUGGAUGGAUGGAUGGAUGGAGUAUUUAUUUUGACGCACCACAGUUUCCUCCCUGGGAUUAA